AUUGAACGCUGGCGGCAGGCUUAACACAUGCAAGUCGAACGAGUGGCGGACGGGUGAGUAAUGCUUGGGAAUCUAGCUUAUGGAGGGGGAUAACUACUGGAAACUGUAGCUAAUACCGCGUACCCUCGGUUUUGCCCAAGUGGGUUUCGGUAGUUGUUGAGGUAAAGGCUCACCAAGGCGACGAUCUCUAGCUGUUCUGAGAGGAUGACCAGCCACACUGGAACGGGGAAACGGCCCAGACUCCUACGGGAGGCAGCAGUGGGGAAUAUUGCACAAUGGGGGCAACGCUGACGCAGCCAUGCCGCGUGGAUGAAGAAGGCCUUCGGGUUGUAAAGUACUGUCGGUGGGGAGGCGGUAACGGAAGAAGAAGCACCGGCUAACUCCGUGCCAGCAGCCGCGGUAAUUG
This 406-nucleotide ribosomal RNA is filed under the name uncultured bacterium. Its description in RNAcentral is "partial 16S ribosomal RNA". It matches the Rfam family "Bacterial small subunit ribosomal RNA", at positions 30 to 527 of the family's 1533-position model. The record is from RNAcentral.